This 339-nucleotide ribosomal RNA is filed under the name Pseudoalteromonas ruthenica. RNAcentral's name for it is "partial 23S ribosomal RNA". It matches the Rfam family "Bacterial large subunit ribosomal RNA", at positions 2282 to 2620 of the family's 2925-position model. The record is from RNAcentral. Lineage: Bacteria; Pseudomonadati; Pseudomonadota; Gammaproteobacteria; Alteromonadales; Pseudoalteromonadaceae.
GUCUCCUCCCAAAGAGUAACGGAGGAGCACGAAGGGUGGCUAAGUACGGUCGGACAUCGUACGGUUAGUGUAAUGGUAGAAGCCAGCUUAACUGCGAGACAGACACGUCGAGCAGGUACGAAAGUAGGUCAUAGUGAUCCGGUGGUUCUGAAUGGAAGGGCCAUCGCUCAACGGAUAAAAGGUACUCCGGGGAUAACAGGCUGAUACCGCCCAAGAGUUCAUAUCGACGGCGGUGUUUGGCACCUCGAUGUCGGCUCAUCACAUCCUGGGGCUGAAGUCGGUCCCAAGCGUAUGGCUGUUCGCCAGUUACAGUGCUACUCGAGCUUGGUUUAGCACGUC